Molecule: ribosomal RNA, 253 nt
Filed under: uncultured bacterium
Lineage: Bacteria
Description: partial 16S ribosomal RNA
Rfam family: Bacterial small subunit ribosomal RNA
Source: RNAcentral
UACGUAGGGGGCAAGCGUUGUCCGGAUUUAUUGGGCGUAAGAGCGUGUUGGCGGCUAGAUAGGUUCGUUUUGUAAAACUCGAGGCUCAACCUCGAGACGUCGAUGGAAACCAUCUGGCUAGAGUCCGGAAGAGGAGAGUGGAAUUCCUGGUGUAGCGGUGAAAUGCGCAGAUAUCAGGAAGAACACCCGUGGCGAAGGCGGCUCUCUGGGACGUGACUGACGCUGAGACGCGAAAGCGUGGGGAGCGAACAGG